CUGACCCAGCCACGCCGCGUGCAGGAAGACGGCCCUCUGGGUUGUAAACUGCUUUUAACUGGGAAGAAAGUAGCCUAUGCGUAGGAAGUUGACGGUACCAGUUGAAUAAGCCACGGCUAACUACGUGCCAGCAGCCGCGGUAAUACGUAGGUGGCGAGCGUUAUCCGGAUUUAUUGGGUUUAAAGGGAGCGUAGGCGGCUAAUUAAGUCAGUGGUUAAAGGUAGCAGCUUAACUGUUUUACAUGCCAUUGAUACUGGUUAGCUUGAGUUGACAGAAGGCAGAUAGAAUUUCUGGUGUAGCGGUGAAAUGCUUAGAUACCAGAAGGAAUACCGAUUGCGAAGGCAGUCUGCUGCAGUCACACUGACGCUGAGGCUCGAAGGUGCGGGGAUCAAACAGGAUUAGAUACCCUGGUAGUCCGCACAGUAAACGAUGAUUACUAGAUGUUGGCCAAGCCAGUGUCCAAGGGAAACCGAUAAGUAAUCCA
RNAcentral lists this ribosomal RNA (484 nucleotides) under Emticicia sp. Its description in RNAcentral is "bacterial SSU rRNA". It matches the Rfam family "Bacterial small subunit ribosomal RNA", at positions 383 to 871 of the family's 1533-position model. Lineage: Bacteria; Pseudomonadati; Bacteroidota; Cytophagia; Cytophagales; Leadbetterellaceae. The record is from RNAcentral.